AGCAGCCGCGGUAAUUCCAGCUCCAAUAGCGUAUAUUAAAGUUGUUGCAGUUAAAAAGCUCGUAGUUGAAUUUCGGGAUUGACGUGACGGUCGUGCCUUAAGGGGUAUGAACUGUCGCCGUUGAUUUCUCACCUUCUGGAGAAGCUCGAUGUCCUUAAUUGGAUGUCUUGUGGAACCAGGACCUUUACCUUGAAAAAAAUUAGAGUGUUUAAAGCAGGCAUUUUGCUCGAAUACAUUAGCAUGGAAUAAUAGAAUAGGACGGCAUGGUUCUAUUUUGUUGGUUUCUAGGAUCACCGUAAUGAUUAAUAGGGAUAGUUGGGGGCAUUAGUAUUCAAUUGUCAGAGGUGAAAUUCUUGGAUUUAUUGAAGACUAACUACUGCGAAAGCAUUUGCCAAGGAUGUUUUUCAUUAAUCAAGAACGAAAGUUAGGGGAUCGAAGACGAUCAGAUACCGUCGUAGUCUUAACCAUAAACUAUGCCGACUAGGAAUCAGACGAUGUUAAUUUUUAAUGACUCGUUUGGC
Molecule: ribosomal RNA, 521 nt
Filed under: uncultured Entrophospora
Lineage: Eukaryota; Fungi; Glomeromycota; Glomeromycetes; Entrophosporales; Entrophosporaceae
Description: SSU rRNA
Rfam family: Eukaryotic small subunit ribosomal RNA
Source: RNAcentral